Molecule: long non-coding RNA, 5161 nt
Organism: Loxodonta africana (African savanna elephant)
Lineage: Eukaryota; Metazoa; Chordata; Mammalia; Proboscidea; Elephantidae
Exons: 4
Source: RefSeq, a predicted model, not a curated record
UUUGAAAAUCUAAAGAAAAAAUGUAUUUUAUUUAACUACUAUAAUAUACAGAAGCCCUGGUGACACAGUGGUUAAGUGCUAUGGUUGCUAACCAAAAGGUCGACAAUUCGAAUCCACCAGGCACUACUUGGAAACUCUAUGGGGGGCAGUUCUACUCUGUCGUAUAGGGUCGCUGUGAACCGGAAUCAACUCGAUGGCAGUGCAUUUGGUUUUGGUUUUACACUAAUAUACUGUUUACCCGUAUUAUUGACUAUGCAAAGGCAUUCAACUGUGUGGAUCAUAACAAAUUGUGGAUACCAUUGCAAAGAAUGGGAGUUCCAGAACACUUAAUUUUGCUCAUGAGGAACCUGUACAUAGACCAAGAGGCAAUUGUUGGAACAGACCAAGGGGAUACUGCAUGAUUUAAAGUCAGGAAAGGUGUGUAUCAGGGUUGUGUCCUUUCACCAUACAUAUUCAAUCUGUAUGCUGAGCAAAUAAUCCAAGAAGCUGGACUAUAUGAAGAAGAAUGUGGCAUCAGGAUUGGAGGAAAUCUCAUUAAGAACCUGCGGUAUGCAGAUGAUACAACCUUGCUUGCUGAAAGCAAAGAGGACUUGAAGCACCUCCUGAUAAAAAUCAAAUAUUACAGCCCUCAGUAUGGAUUAACAACAAUAACAACAAAAAAAAAAACCACUGCUUUCAAGUUGAUUCCGACUCAUAGUGACCCUGCAAACAGAGGAGAAUCACCCCAUAGACUUUCCAAGGAGUAGCUGGUGGAUUUGAACUGCUGACCUUUUGGGUAGCAGUCAAGCUCUUAACCACCGCACCACCAGGGCUCCCAGCAUAGAUUAUACCUCAACCUAAAGAAAACCAAAAUCUUCACAACUGGACCAAUAAGCAACAUCAUGAUAAACAGAUCAAAGAUUGACGUUGUCAAGGAUUUCGUUUUACUUGGAUCCGCAAUCAACACCCAUGGAAGCAGCAGUUAAAAAAUCAAAGGACGUAUUGCAUUGGGCAGAGCUGCUGUAAAAGAACUCUUUAAAGUGUUAAAAAGCAAAGAUGUCACUUUGAGAACUAAAGUGCACCUGACCCAAGCCAUGGUAUAUCUUCAAUCGCCUCAUAUGUGCAUGAAAGCUGGACAGUGAAUAAGUAAGAAUGAAGAAAAAUUGAUGUAUUUGAAUUGUGGUGUUGGUGAAGAAUAUUGAAUAUACCAUGGACUGCCAGAAGAACAAACAUACCUAUCUUGGAAGAAGUACAGUCAGAAUGCUUCUUAGAAACAAGAAUAAUGAGACUUCAUCUCACUUACUUCGGACAUGUUAUAAGGAGGGACCAGUCCCUGGAGAAGGACAUCAUGCUGGAUAAAGUAGAGGGUCAGUGAAAAAGAGGAAGACCCUCAAUGAGUGGGCUUAAACAUAACAAGGAUUGUGAGGACACUGCAGGACCAGGCAGUGUUUCCUUCUGUUGUAUAUAUGGUCACUACGAAUUGAAGCCAAGUCCCCAGCACCUCACAACAACAACAAUAUACAUAUGUACCUGCAAGAUGUGUAUCUACCUAAGUUAAAUCAAACUUUAUUAGAAAUUCAUGAGUCUGUUGGAACCGAUUGAUGGAUGUUGUUGUUUAGGUAACUUUAGACAGUUUUUCAUCUUUAAAAAUGAUGCUUCUUGUAUAGCAGAAAUUAGCAGAAUGUCGAGUAAGUACCCUUCCCUAUUCUACUUUUAAAUACAAAAUUAGAGGACUUUUUAGGAAUUAAAAAUGGAUAGCCAGUGCCAGUUUACCAAAACAAAAAAAACAAACCAAUUGUUGUCGAGUCGAUUCCAAUUCAUAGCAACCCCAUAGGACAAUAGGACUGCUCCAUAGUAUUUCCAAGGAGCAGCUAGUGGAUUCGAACUGCUGACUUUUUGGUUAGCAGCCAUUGCUCCAGUGCCAGUUUAGUGUCCGCUAAAUCCCUGUAGUAUUUUAGAUCCGUUGUACCAAUAUGCAUUGGCAAAUUUAACCCAGAUUGAGCAUAAAUUUCAUUUUUCACAGGUAUGUCCAGUGCUUUAAGUUUCUUUGUUUAUAUUACUUUGCCCUACUUUGAAAAGUGUUAUUUAUGCAUAAAUUUAUUGAUUUAAUUGGACUCAUUUUUAAUGGUGCUAACUUCUGAAUUUCUAAUGGUGGCCUGCGCCUGCAUAGUCAACCUUUCUUCCUGCUGGAAAUUUUUUUACCUGAUGCUUUUUUACUGUGUCUCUUUUGCCUUUAUUACCUAUAUGGUAUUUCUCCCUUUUCUUUAAGCAAUUCACAACCUAACUCUGUGCUACUGUAGUAUAAUGCUUCUGCUCCUUGUAUGAUUGCAAUGCACCACAUAUUUGUACGAUUGCAGUCAAACUGUUAUUAUCUCACAUUGGUCAUUGACCACAUAGUGUCACCACGUCAACUGGUUUGCCAUUCCCAGAUAUUGCAUGUUCCUAUUAAUGCAGUUUUACUCUUUAGGGUCACUCUGAGUCAGAAGCGACUCAAUGGCAAAGGGUUUGGGUUUUCUACUCUGUCCUACAGGGUCAAUAUGAGCUGGAAUAGAUUCUACAGCAAUGGGUUUUUUGUUGUUGUUUUAUUAAUGGAUGGGAGCCCUAGGUGGCACAGUGAUUAAGUGCUCGACUGCUAACCAAAAGGUUGGCAGUUCGAAUCCAUCAGCUGCUCCUUGGAAACCCUAUGGGGCAGUUCUACUCUGUACCGUAGGGUCACUAUGAGUCAGACUCAACUCAGUGGCAAUGGGAUUAGUGGAUGAACUUCUCACAUUUCCUUUGUGUUCUAUCUUGAGUAAAUGUAAAUCGCACUAGCCCAUCCAAUUUCAUUUUCUUUUUUCAGCUUUCUGUUUCAUCAUUUAUUAUUCUGAUCACUAUAGUAUCUUUUUCCUUAGCAUGUGGCACCUUCAGACAAGCUGUUUAUGGAGAACUGCUCAUGUGAGGUGAACUGUAAUGAGAUCACCUCCCCACUCUAACAGAGGAAGAUGACCAGAAUGAAAACCCAGCUCCCAUCUGGAAAUCAUUGAAUCCCACUGUACAAAACGCUACUCUUACAUCUAGGAGAUUGACAUUCAAUGACAUUAUUUUGGCUCAUCGCUAUGUGAAAAACAUGAAGGAUUUUUCAGCAAUAAACUCAGCAUAUGUGACCACAUUCAAGCUCUGUCUACCUGCAAGGGUGUGUGUAGAAACCGUGUUGCCAGAAGAACUACUUUUCUCUGUGGAUUGCCUUGUUCACCAGAGUGAUAUGAAGAUUGGUGAUGGUCUCUCUCCACCCAAAUACAUCUUGCAUGUUCAGAUUAUUUCUCACUGGGCACCUCCUAGCAUUGGACCAUGUAGUCAGUCCAUUAAGAUUUACUGAAAUUAUUAUUGGACUGAAAUAUUAAAGGUGAAAGGAAGAGGAAUGGAACCAACAUCUAUUGAGCACCUGGCCACAGCACCAGAAAAAGCCAGACAAUGGUCAAAUGUAUUUUCUAACUUCUACAUCAGAGGCAGGGCCUGGCCAUGUUAUCCCCUCCAUAAAAGGAGAGAACUCUUUAGAUCAUUGACUUUCUGGGAGCCAGAAAUCACGGAACAAAGAACAGUUUCCCCAAAAUGAGGAAACUCUAGGCUUUCCUUCACCACCUCGCUCCUGCACCGUUUCUCCAAAUUUUAUUAUUUAGUAUAUAAACUAUUCAUAAGUAUACAGCUUGUAAGUCUAAUUGAUGCAGUUCCACAGCAAGCUGUGAACUGAUGUGUGUAUCAGAAGACUGCUGUUAGGGUAUGAAUCCAGGUGGAUAUUUAGUUGAAACGCCAUGAGAAAAAUAGGAAAAAAGAAACACCUUCUUCAUUCUGAAUAUGAGAUAAUUACUUUUCAAAAAUCAUUGCAGCCCCAAUCCAAGAAGGGACCACAAGGUUUAAUUGUGGGUGUGCUAUUUACAGAUUAAUUAGGACAUUUAACUUCAUUUUUUAUACCACAGAAUUAAUCCCAUAAAAAUUAGCGAUCUCGAAGGAGUCAGUUGUCAGCUCUGACAGGAUCUCUUUGCCAUAAUCUAUUAAAAUGCUGCUUUUAUCUUGUCUUGCCUGUGUCAUAUUUUAUGGAUUUUUUCAUAAACACUGCCUAUACUUCAUAAAUGUCUCAAUUUUCUAGUCUAUUAACAUUACUUCAAAAGCAAUUGAUAAAAGAGUAGGGCAUGCAUAAAAUAAUACACCAAUAAUGUGAAGAGCUGGAGGCAAGAACAGUGGGUAGGAUCUGCACAGCUUGUGAGUGGAAACAAUGAAAGGAUGUUUUAUCUACUACAAUAAAGAAACAAAUGAUCAUUUUUGAUAGUAGAAAAAAGAUUGCUGGUAAUUGGGCAGAUGAAAAAUGGGUGACACAGAAAAUAUAGCGUAUUUUGAAAAUGAUAACUGAAAUGAGAAAAUAAACAUCCCCAAGUAUAUAUUUACAUCAUGGGGACAGUUUUCCCUUUGGUUUGAUGUGCUAUUCAGCUUGAUUUGGCUCAGUUAUAGUUAUGAUGGUCUUAUGCUAUGUGUAAACAAAUUUCCUUUGUAUGCAUGUUUUAACAAAACUAUCCAUAAUGUACUUUAUGUAUUACUGCAAUAAGUGUUGGAAUUAGGUUUUUUAAAAUCUUUAUAAUUUUAUUAUUUUGGUUUUGGGGGGUUUUGAAAUUUGUUUAGUUUUUCCCUUAACGUAUGAAUGAUAUGUCUGUAACAUCCUGUUUAUAAAGUCCUGGUAUAUGGCCUAAAUUGAUGUAAUGAAAUGAAAAUCUUAUCUGGAUUUGUACCACAAAUAUAAUUCACAGGGAUAUAAAUAAAUUGACUUCAAAAUUAGUCAGUAAUUAUAUAUUUAAACCAACCAAAUGGAAGACAAAGAAGAGAAAGAGCAUUAAGCACAUACAGAAUUCCUGAUUUCCCUUUGCUUUAUUUUUCCUGUUUUACCACUCGAUUUAGCUAAAUGAAACCAGGUAUUUUUCCAGGCUUUUAUUCCUAAAGCCUCAUGCUUUAUAAAUGGAGGUUCCAUAGUGCCUCAUAGUGUCUGGACAGUCCCAGCUUACACUUGUAAUGAUCUAAGCUCCCUGUUUCCCUCACAAACAUAUCCUGACUUGGAACGCAGGGUAUAUGGUCACCUAUUAAACUGUGAUCAAAUAAAUAUUGGAAGGAAUGUUUUAACAAUAUAUACAUUUUAAUUUUUUUUAAUAUACAUAGCACU